GAUGAACGCUGGCGGCAUGCCUAACACAUGCAAGUCGAACGGGAAGUGGUGUUUCCAGUGGCGAACGGGUGAGUAACGCGUAAGAACCUGCCCUUGGGAGGGGAACAACAACUGGAAACGGUUGCUAAUACCCCGUAGGCUGAGGAGCAAAAGGAGAAAUCCGCCCAAGGAGGGGCUCGCGUCUGAUUAGCUAGUUGGUGAGGUAAUAGCUUACCAAGGCGAUGAUCAGUAGCUGGUCCGAGAGGAUGAUCAGCCACACUGGGACUGAGACACGGCCCAGACUCCUACGGGAGGCAGCAGUGGGGAAUUUUCCGCAAUGGGCGAAAGCCUGACGGAGCAAUGCCGCGUGGAGGUGGAAGGCCUACGGGUCGUCAACUUCUUUUCUCGGAGAAGAAACAAUGACGGUAUCUGAGGAAUAAGCAUCGGCUAACUCUGUG
Molecule: ribosomal RNA, 437 nt
Filed under: uncultured bacterium
Lineage: Bacteria
Description: partial 16S ribosomal RNA
Rfam family: Bacterial small subunit ribosomal RNA
Source: RNAcentral